AACCGGGAGAUAGCUGGUUCUCCUCGAAAUCUAUUUAGGUAGAGCGUCGUACGAAUACCUCGGGGGGUAGAGCACUGGAUGGGUAAUGGGGCCCCACAGGCUUACUGAUCCUAACCAAACUCCGAAUACCCGAGAGUAAUAUACGGCAGACACACUGCGGGUGCUAACGCCCGUAGUGAAAAGGGAAACAACCCUGACCUCCAGCUAAGGCCCCUAAUUCAUGGCUAAGUGGGAAAGCAGGUGAGACGACCAAAACAACCAGGAGGUUGGCUUAGAAGCAGCCAUCCUUUAAAGAAAGCGUAACAGCUCACUGGUCAAGCGCUCCUGCGCGGAAAAUGUAACGGGGCUUAAGUGAUACACCGAAGCUGUGGAUUCAAUCUUAUGAUUGAGUGGUAGCGGAGCGUUCCGUAGGCCGAUGAAGGUGG
This 425-nucleotide ribosomal RNA is filed under the name Thalassionema frauenfeldii. RNAcentral's name for it is "partial Bacterial large subunit ribosomal RNA". It matches the Rfam family "Bacterial large subunit ribosomal RNA", at positions 836 to 1259 of the family's 2925-position model. The record is from RNAcentral. Lineage: Eukaryota; Bacillariophyta; Fragilariophyceae; Thalassionematales; Thalassionemataceae.